RNAcentral lists this ribosomal RNA (359 nucleotides) under uncultured Symbiodinium. Its description in RNAcentral is "partial Bacterial small subunit ribosomal RNA". It matches the Rfam family "Bacterial small subunit ribosomal RNA", at positions 1 to 348 of the family's 1533-position model. The record is from RNAcentral. Lineage: Eukaryota; Dinophyceae; Suessiales; Symbiodiniaceae.
UAUGGAGAGUUUGAUCCUGGCUCAGGAUGAACGCUGGCGGCGUGCCUAAUACAUGCAAGUCGAACGCGCGGAUCAGGAGCUUGCUCCUGUGACGCGAGUGGCGGACGGGUGAGUAACACGUAGGCAACCUGCCCAUCAGACUGGGAUAACCACGGGAAACCGUGGCUAAUACCGGAUAAUCCUUUUCCACACAGGUGGGAAAGUUGAAAGGCGGCCUUUUGGCUGUCACUGAUGGAUGGGCCUGCGGCGCAUUAGCUUGUUGGUGGGGUAACGGCCCACCAAGGCGACGAUGCGUAGCCGACCUGAGAGGGUGAUCGGCCACACUGGGACUGAGACACGGCCCAGACUCCUACGGGAGG